CUAUAUGAAUAAGCACCGGCUAAUUCCGUGCCAGCAGCCGCGGUAAUACGGAGGGUGCAAGCGUUACUCGGAAUCACUGGGCGUAAAGAGCGUGUAGGCGGGUAUAUAAGUCAGAAGUGAAAUCCAAUAGCUUAACUAUUGAACUGCUUUUGAAACUGUAUACCUAGAAUGUGGGAGAGGUAGAUGGAAUUUCUGGUGUAGGGGUAAAAUCCGUAGAGAUCAGAAGGAAUACCGAUUGCGAAGGCGAUCUACUGGAACAUUAUUGACGCUGAGACGCGAAAGCGUGGGGAGCAAACAGGAUUAGAUACCCUGGUAGUCCACGCCCUAAACGAUGCACACUAGUUGUUGUGAGGCUCGACCUUGCAGUAAUGCAGUUAACACAUUAAGUGUGCCGCCUGGGGAGUACGGUCGCAAGAUUAAAACUCAAAGGAAUAGACGGGGACCCGCACAAGCGGUGGAGCAUGUGGUUUAAUUCGACGAUACACGAAGAACCUUACCUGGACUUGACAUAGUAAGAACUUUCUAGAGAUAGAUUGGUGUCUGCUUGCAGAAACUUAUAUACAGGUGCUGCACGGCUGUCGUCAGCUCGUGUCGUGAGAUGUUGGGUUAAGUCCCGCAACGAGCGCAACCCUCGUCAUUAGUUGCUAACAGUUCGGCUGAGAACUCUAAUGAGACUGCCUACGCAAGUAGGAGGAAGGUGAGGACGACGUCAAGUCAUCAUGGCCCUUACGUCCAGGGCUACACACGUGCUACAAUGGGGUAUACAAAGAGCAGCAAUACGGUGACGUGGAGCAAAUCUCAAAAAUAUCUCCCAGUUCGGAUUGUAGUCUGCAACUCGACUACAUGAAGUUGGAAUCGCUAGUAAUCGUAGAUCAGCUAUGCUAGCGGUGAAUACGUUCCCGGGUCUUGUACUCACCGCCCGUCACACCAUGGGAGUUGAACUCAUUCGAAGCCGGGGAUGCUAAAGUAGCUA
This 973-nucleotide ribosomal RNA is filed under the name uncultured bacterium. RNAcentral describes it as "bacterial SSU rRNA". It matches the Rfam family "Bacterial small subunit ribosomal RNA", at positions 478 to 1447 of the family's 1533-position model. The record is from RNAcentral.